This 502-nucleotide ribosomal RNA is filed under the name uncultured bacterium. RNAcentral describes it as "partial 16S ribosomal RNA". It matches the Rfam family "Bacterial small subunit ribosomal RNA", at positions 28 to 523 of the family's 1533-position model. The record is from RNAcentral.
GAUGAACGCUAGCGAUAGGCCUAACACAUGCAAGUCGAGGGGCAGCAUAGAGUAGCAAUACUUUGAUGGCGACCGGCGCACGGGUGAGUAACACGUAUGCAACCUACCUACAUCAGGGGAAUAACCCGGAGAAAUUCGGACUAAUACCGCAUAAUACAGGGAUGCCGCAUGGCAAUAUUUGUUAAAGAUUUAUCGGAUGUAGAUGGGCAUGCGUUCCAUUAACUAGUUGGUGAGGUAACGGCUCACCAAGGCAACGGUCGAUAGGGGAACGGAGAGGUGUGUCCCCCACACUGGCACUGAGACACCGACCAGACUCCGCUGGGAGGCAGCCGUGAGGAAUAUGGGCAAUGGACGAGAGUCUGAACCAGACAGAUCGCGUGAAGGAAGACUGCCCUACGGGUUGUAAUCUUCUUUUGUACAGGAAAAAAAGACAUUACGUGUAAUGUAUUGCAUGUACUGUACGAAUAAGCAUCGGCUAACUCCGUGCCAGCCGCCGCUGUAA